AGGGCGUGUAGUGGAUGCCUUGGCACUGAAAGCCGAUGAAGGACGUGAUAUACUGCGAUAAGUUUCGGGGAGCUGUAUGUAAGCUUUGAUCCGAAAAUUUCCGAAUGGGGAAACCCACCACUUUAUGUGGUACUUUAAACUGAAUACAUAGGUUUAAAGAGACAACCUGGAGAACUGAAACAUCUAAGUAACCAGAGGAAAAGAAAUCAAUUGAGAUUCCGUUAGUAGUGGCGAGCGAACGCGGAGUAGGCCAGUAGUUUUGUUAGAAAAAUUUGAAUAGUUUGGAAAUGCUAACCAUAGAGGGUGAUAGUCCCGUAUGAGUAAUGUCUAACAAAAUUCUUGAGUAAAGCGGGACACGAGAAAUCCUGCUCGAAUAUAGGGGGACCACCCUCUAAGCCUAAAUACUCUUCAGUGACCGAUAGUGAACUAGUACCGUGAGGGAAAGGUGAAAAGAACCCCUAUUAGGGGAGUGAAAUAGAACCUGAAACUGCAUGCCUACAAUCAGUCCGAGCCCUUUUUAGGGUGAGGGCGUACCUUUUGUAUAAUGGGUCAGUGACUUAAUUUAUUAAGCAAGCUUAAGCCAUCUAGGUGUAGGCGCAGCGAAAGCAAGUCUUAAUAGGGCGAUUAGUUUAAUGAAUUAGACCCGAAAACGAAUGAGCUUACCAUGAGCAGGUUGAAAGUUGGGUAACACCAACCGGAGGACCGAACCAGUUGACGUUGAAAAGUCUUUGGAUGACUUGUGGUAAGGGGUGAAAGGCCAACCAAAUUCGUAGAUAGCUGGUUUUCCGCGAAAACUAUUUAGGUAGUGCGUCGAAUAAAUAGAUGUUUAGAGGUAGAGCACUAAAUGGGCUAGGGGGAAGAGAUUCUUACCAAACCUAAUAAAACUCCGAAUGCUAGACAUUGUUCUUCGGCAGACAGACUGUGGGUGCUAAGGUCCAUGGUCGAGAGGGAAAGAGCCCAGACCACCAGAUAAGGUCCCAAAAUCAUGAUUAAGUGUGAAAGGAUGUGGAAAUUCCUUAACAGCCGGGAGGUUGGCUUAGAAGCAGCCAUCCUUUAAAGAUAGCGUAACAGCUCACCGGUCUAAUAGAGUUUCUGCGCCGAAGAUGUAACGGGGCUAAAAUCAUGUACCGAAUCUGUGGCUUUGCAAAGUUUUCGAACUUUGUAAGGGGUAGCGGAACGUUCUGUAAGCCUGCGAAGGGAUACCCGUGAGGGAUCCUGGAGGUAUCAGAAGUGCGAAUGCUGACAUAAGUAACGAUAAACGAAGUGAAAAACUUCGUCGCCGAAAAUCUAAGGGUUUCUAUGCAAGGUUAAUCCGCGUAGAGUUAGUCGGCACCUAAGGCGAGGGCGAAAGCCGUAGUCGAUGGAAACAAGGUUAAUAUUCCUUGACCUGAUGGUAGUGACGGAUUUCGUAAGUUGUGAGUUCUUAAUGGAUUGAACUUGCCGCGAAGAGGUCCCAAGAAAUAGCUCCAUCAUGAAGACCGUACCCGAAACCGACACAGGUAGAUUAAUAGAGUAUAUUUAGGCGCUUGAGAGAAUGAUGUUGAAGGAACUCGGCAAAAUGCUUCCGUAACUUCGGGAUAAGGAAGACCCUUUUGUAGGCAACUAUGGAAGGGUGGCACAAGCCAGGGAGAAGCGACUGUUUAUCAAAAACACAGGGCUCUGCUAACACGUAAGUGGAUGUAUAGGGUCUGACGCCUGCCCGGUGCUGGAAGGUUAAUGCGGUUGGUGCAAGCUAACUUCUGAAGCCCCAGUAAACGGCGGCCGUAACUAUAACGGUCCUAAGGUAGCGAAAUUCCUUGUCGGGUAAGUUCCGACCUGCAUGAAUGGCGUAACGAUUUCUCCGCUGUCUCCAACAUCAACUCAGUGAAAUUGAAUUCUCCGUGAAGAUGCGGAGUUCGCGUAGUUAGACGGAAAGACCCCGUGCACCUUUACUGCAACUUUACAUUGGUGUUAGGAAAAACAUAUUUAGCAUAGGAGGGAGACUUUGAAGCAAAGGCGUCAGCUUUUGUGGAGUCACCAGUGAAAUACCUCUUUUGUUUUUCUUGACAUCUAACCGCUAGCCGUCAUCCGGCAGCGAGACAUUGUAUGGUGGGUAGUUUGACUGGGGCGGUCGCCUCCCAAAUAGUAACGGAGGCGUGCGAAGGUAGGCUCAGAACGGUCAGAAAUCGUUCGUAGAGUGCAAUGGCAUAAGCCUGCCUGACUGUGAGACUGACAAGUCGAGCAGAGACGAAAGUCGGUCAUAGUGAUCCGGUG
Molecule: ribosomal RNA, 2253 nt
Filed under: seawater metagenome
Description: bacterial LSU rRNA
Rfam family: Bacterial large subunit ribosomal RNA
Source: RNAcentral